Long non-coding RNA from Marmota monax (woodchuck), 1780 nucleotides. RefSeq lists it as uncharacterized. The record is from RefSeq and is a predicted model, not a curated record. NCBI's taxonomy places the organism in Eukaryota, Metazoa, Chordata, Mammalia, Rodentia, Sciuridae. The transcript is spliced from 4 exons.
CCUUAGGUUUCAGGGGACAUCUGGAAAGCUGCUCUCUUGGUGAAGUUUCCAGAACCUUCCGGGCCAGAUGGAUUUUCUGAACUCCAGAGAUGGGAAGUUCCAGCCCUGUAUCAGCCAGGCCUAGAUAAACUUACUGCCAAGAAAACGUCCUUUUUCAUAAAAAGUCAUGCUUCAAAAAGGGCAUCCUUCCCUGCAGCAAUAAAAGUUGGGGUUUGGAUUCUGACUUGAUGCAUGCCUAGCCAGCCCUGAUUCUUGUUGUCACCCAGCUCCUGAUGGGAUUUGGAAGGCAGAGCCACUAGCCUCCAAGAGGCAGGGACGACAGGCCAGAGCAAGCCUGGAAGCAAAGGGUCUCAGUUUUUCCGUCCAUAAAACUGGAAUGAAGAAGCUGGAUAAAGCAAUCUCAAAGCAUCACCUACUUCCCUUGCUUCUCCCUGUACCUGCUGCACAGGAGAAUCCCAAGUAACUUAUAUGGAUACUCUGCCCCCAGAAGAGGGAGCAUAACUCCUUAAGGGUGGCCUGUGAAGAAUGACCUCCCUCCAAAGAAGAAAGCAUGGAAAGAGAGCAAAGGGGAUUGCAUGGUGAAGAAUCCUGACAAGCACUCUCUCAGCCAGGUGAUCAAGGUCAACAUCGAUAGCAAUUGCUCACUUGCUCCGAGGUUAUAAAAAUAGCACUUAAACUCUGUGGUCUUCCUGUCCUAGAACCCAGAACCCCAAUCUACUCAUGAAACUAAACAUCAGACAAAUUCCAAAAGUGGGAUCUUCUACAAAAUACCUGACCAGUGCUCCUUAGAACUGUCAAGGUCAUCAUGACCAUUAUGAUAUAUCUUUUGUUUUCUGUUUGUGGUUCUUGGCUCAUAACUCCCUCUUAAGGGCAGGCCACAGAAACUAAACUUCUCUUCCCCAAGGCAGGUUUCAAAAAUCCUAAUCUUCACCUGACCAUAAAGAAAUUCUCCAGCAGGGCACGGUAACACAUGCCUGUAAUCCCAGCGGCUCAGGAGGCUGAGACAGGAGGAUUGCAAGUUCAAAGCCAGCCUCAGCAACAUCGAGGUGCUAAGUAACUCAGUGAGACCCUGUCUCUAAAUAAAAUACAAAAUAGGGCUGGAGAUGUGGCUCAGUGGUCGAGUGCCCCUGAGUUCAAUCCCUGGCGUGGAAAAAAAAGAAAAAGAAAUUCUCUGACCUACCAUACCUGAUUAAGUAAGUCAUAAGACCCUCAUUUCAGAAAGGAUCCUGCCCCAUACCCCAGAGAAAGGGAUGCCGCACAGAGAAGCCAAGAAAAUCUGAAUCGGUGGGGUUUCUCCAGUCAGUCUAUUAGCAUUACAUUACACCCUUUGUGUCCAAUCACAUUUAUUUAUUUAUUUAUUUCUCUCUGUGUGUGCUUGUGGUACUGGGAAUUGAACCCAGGAUACUUUACCACUCACUAUAUCCGGGCCCUUUUCAUAUUUAUCUUAAGACAGGGUCUUACUAUGUUGCCUAGACAGGCCUCAAACUUGAGAUUCUCCUGCUUCAGCCUCCUGAAUAGCUAGGAUUAUAAACAAGGGCCACCAUGCCCAGUUCCAAUCACAUCUCUACAGGGUUGUCCGUGUUUUGAUCAUGGUUAUGCGAUGAAGACUACAUAAAACCCCCCAAAGAUAGGGUUCAGAUAAUUUCCAGAGAGCGGAAGGAUCCUGGAGGGUGGGUGUGCCCAGAGAGUAGAGAACCUCCACACCCCUUCCCCCAUUCCUUACCCUAUGCAUCUCUUCAUCUGUGUUCUUUGUAAUAAACUGGUAAAUGUGUUUCUCUAA